Molecule: ribosomal RNA, 5822 nt
Filed under: Triticum aestivum (bread wheat)
Lineage: Eukaryota; Viridiplantae; Streptophyta; Magnoliopsida; Poales; Poaceae
Description: partial small subunit ribosomal RNA
Rfam family: MIR1120/MIR1122 microRNA precursor family (bases 4218-4352)
Source: RNAcentral
GAAAGACCUCUCCUAUCGAUCCCCUCCAUCCCUCGAGGAGACGCCGCCGUCGUCGUACGCACCUCGAUCCCCUCGAACGCCCGCGCACAGCCGCCCUCUCCCGUCUCCCCCACCCAUACCCGCUUUCUUCCUCGCCGGCGCCGCCCUCUUCCCCGCCCUCGAGCGGGGAUGCCCCGGAUCGAGUCGCGCAAGUCAGCGGGCCGGCGUCCAGAUCCGCCACGGCCACAUCUCGUCCAGAUGGAUGGCGCCGGGAGAGGUAGAUCGAGGGGGCGGGUACCGUGUGGGUCUUGGACGCCGCUCCCGCCCGAUCCGGUGAGGAGGCCACCGCCACCAUGACUCUGGAUACAGGUCGGCCCAUCGCCACUGGCAUGCCUUACCGCAAGGUCGACUCGGGCACCUCCUAUCAAUGGUUGCCGCGCAGAUGAUAGUAUGAUACCGAGGGGCAGCCAGAGUGCCAGACGCCGGCGUGGCGGGUAGACGAUGAUGCACCUUGCGACGCUGACAGUAUCUCCUGCUCCAGCGAAGCACAACGUCUCUUGUAGAAGAUAUCCUCCGCCUGCAGCGGGAUGUGUUCGUUUCCAGGGUGAGAUUCUUGUGUCUUUCCUCUUCUUCUCUGGUGACUAUGGUUUGCAGAUUUGGGAUUAGGUAGUAAGCGGCAGCAGGCCUUGGCAGGGGUGGCAUUGCAAGAACCUCACACAUGGUGAAGAAGAUGCAGUUGAAAAGCGACCGGCUCACUCCAUUAUUCGUUUGGACAUCGACAAUUAUUCGUUUGGAUGCAUUAUUAUCAGGUUGUUUCUUCUUAGUUUACUGACAGCAAGAAUUGAUAGCCUUUUCCUUUUGUACGUUGUGUUUCUUAAUCACCUAGCUUACCUGGAUUCAAGAGUAUGACUAUUGGUUGUUGUUUUUUGAGAGGAUGACUGUUGGUUGUUGAGAGGAUGACUGUUUGCCUCCAAGGAAGCUGCAGGGCUGAUCCAAGUAAGCAAGUUUUUUCUUAUCUGAUCCUAAAACAAAUGACUUGACAGAAUAAAGUAUAAGCAAUGGACUGCACUAAUAUAUACAAGUGCAUCAAUUGUUCUGCUAGCUUUUACAUAAUGAGCUAUUCUUAGAAACUAUUCCUGUAAGCAUAUGCUUUUGUACAGUUUUUUUUUUGUUAAUUCCUAUGUAUUAGCUUUGACUUUCUUCAGUUCCGACGUUAAGUACCUCGAUCCUUUUCAGUAUGCUGAAGGUUGAAAAUGAGGCUGUCACUAUGAAGAAUAUUUGCCGUUAAGUUUAAAUUCCUUGUUAAAGGUUCAGUAAGAUACUUGAAUAUUGUCGAUGUCAAACUGCAUGUAUACAUGACGAUAGAUUAAAGAAUUAUGUGCUGAUAUCUUCCAAUGUUGGUUGAACUACAUAUGCUUUGCUUACAGGUUUUCUAGAUAAAAAUAAGGGAUGAUAGGUUUUUGACAAACUUGAUUCUAAAGUGAAUGCUCACCUAAAGGCUUAAUAUAUAGAUACAGUGCUUCCAUCACUUGGGUAAGUUGAAUGCAAAUUUGCACACUUUUCUCUACUAUUAUGAAAUAUGUUCGGAGCAAAAAAAAUCUCAUGAGUACGACAGUUCUCACGAUUUUAUUGUAUGCGUGACAUAGAUUAGAUGAGAAUAAAAUUUAAUCACAGGUAUGUUGCCUCCAUGGUAAACACUGAAGAAAUGGGGGUUGUAUAUUUUCAGAUCAAAUAAUAGCUUUAUUGUUUCUCUAUUCUUUCUUUUUUCUCACACAGCAUAAAAACUGAAUGUAUUCAUUACUACUACUGAAUUGCAAAAAAAAAUAUAAACUUGGUUCAAAUCUUCCUGGUUAGAUUUUGCAAAGGACUUGGAUGGAGUUUGGUGUGUUAAUCAAACAGGGUUCAAUAUAGAAAUUGACAUUGGAGAGACUUGUAUGUACUGCUAAGACACGGUUCAGCUUGCAGAGGCUGACACGUGCAUUGAUCUUCAGACAGGAAGAAAAAUUAAAGUAAGACAUAUUCAUAUAUCAAGGAUUAGAUUUUGUAGAGGAUAUGAAUUGGGCUAGGUCACAAUAGAUGGUGUUCUUCAGUUAUAGAGAAAGGAUUGUCGAUGUAGGUUCUGUUUGGACAUAUAGUAGACAUAAAGUUGUAUCCUUUUACAUGAUUAGCUUAGGUACGCACGCAGCAGAGGAAAAAAUUCACAAGCUUUAGAUGGAGUCUGGUGUGUUAGUCGAAUUUGAUUCAGAAUAGAAACUGAUAUUGGAAACUUGUAUGUACUGACAUGACACGGUUCAGAUUGCAUUGGCUGACGUAUGUAGUGAUCUUCAUAUAAAAUGGAAAAUCAAAUCAAUCAUAUGUACCUCCGGGUCUUCUGUCUGAUACAUGGUCUUCUCAUCUUCUUUUGUUUCUGAUUAGCAUGAUUAUCUUUUAGUCUGUUAGAAUUGUAUUGGAAGAAAAGAUCGAGGAUAACCACCAGGUAUAGCAUUUGGUUGGAUUGAUGUUUCGUCCGCACUGCCACUUCAUUAUUUCCUGUACAGUCCACCUUCACACUCUUGUAAGCUCAUGCAAAGAUUUCUGACUAAGUUCUCAUGAUUUAUCAAUAUAAAAAAUAUUAAAUUUUGCAAUGUAAAUAACUGUGUUUCUUUUGUAUGGGUCAGCAGGGAUAGGAAACUGAAAGUCACCAGUGGUGAACAACAAGUGCAGAUUUCAAGUCCUGUAAGCAAAUUGAUCAUUUCGGUAAUUCAUUCUUAUGUCAGAAUUUGAUUGCAAUUGGGGUUGGAAGGAAGCAACAAAAUUCCUAUCCUGUAAUAUGCAUUUUUGGUAUGUGCCUUGACAGUUGUUCAGGUCGAUACAGAAUUCCAUUCAUCUGUUUUUUUAAGGCACUUAAUUUAACAUUGUUUUUAUUUUUGUCUAAGAGAUGGAUUGCUGUUAAGAUUUGAGACAUAUAUACAGGGGCCUACAAGAUCCAAUUCAUGUUAGUUACCUACCCAGUGCUUACCUAUAAAUCUGGACCUUAGUGCAUCUUUCAUAAAAUGUUAUUUUUGUAAUUUAUAAAAGUGAACAAAUUCCUUAAAGUAGUUCUUACAUGUGCUAUAGACAAUUCAUCAUUUAUUAAAGGUGAAAGGAACAUAGUUGGGAAAUUUAUUUGUGAAUUUGUUGUCGAGAUAGGUAGGUAAUGAAACUGUAGCUGUACAUGAGAGCAGUUGUUCUAUAAGAUAUUGAAAGCUUUACUUUGGGUGCUUAAGUGCAACAAUUACUUCUCCUUGAAGGAUCCUGUUUCUGUCUUGGAUGGGUGUCUACACAUAUGCUUGCAGUAUAUACAAUCUAUUAUUCAUUUUUUAGUUUUUAAUGGUCAAAAAUCAUGUUAUUCAUGUUUGCUCUUUAUUAAAAUUCUCCCGGGAUUUAAUUCAGAAAGAAUGAUGCUCCCGACGAUUUAGGUCGUGCUUAGAUAGGAGCAACAAGCAAUGGCAACAAACUUCACGUAAAUGGCCAGUUAGAUAAAUGCUCAUGUACUCACACAUCCCUUACGCCAUUUAGAUUCGUACACACUUUGUAUCAGCAUCACCUGGAAACACGUUUAUGCUGUCACACAUCUCUUGGCAUCUAGCUUUCAUUUCUUUUUCGAAUUUUGCUCAGAUUGGAGAUGGGAGAGAGAGCAAGGCUCGGUACUUCUUUGCUAACUGUUGAUGUUACCCUUCGAAGAAGGGAGAGACACAAUAAACGCUUCAGAGUGUUCUAAUGUGCUCAUUAUGUGAUUUUAUUUGAUUAUCUAAUUUAUUCUCUAGACUUUAGCCGGAGUCGAAUCCGCCAGCAUGGGGAUGAGGUUGGAAGACCCAACAGCGUCGGUGAAAAAACAUGCUUUUAAUGCUUCAAGGUGGUUUUACAAUCACCAUGCUUUUAAUGCCAGCUUCUUUCAGAGUGGGCUAAUUCAAUGGGCUUACUCAAUGUCAGAUAGGUUCAUAUAUUAGGUAUUAUCAACAAGAGUUGGCUGCGGAUGCUAUAUGUAUGUUAUGGAUCAGCCAGGACCUUAAGAUCAUGCUCUUAAAUGCAUGCACAGAACUUAGCUCCAGAUUUAACAAGAGUGCAUUUUACAAUGAGUUUUAUUGCCGACGUUGAUCAUAAUCAGUAAGUGUACAGAGCAAUAUAAGGAUUUUCUAAUGUUUAAUAUAUGCUUAUUUGUAGCAUACUAUUGCAGACUUGGAGUGAAGUACUGCCAUGAUAAGUACUCCCUCUGUUCCUAAAUACUCCCUCCGUCCCAAAAAUUUUGGCUUAGAUUUGUCUAAAUACGUAUGUAUCAAGUCAUGUUUUAGUAUUAGAUACAUCCGUAUCUAGACUAAUCUAAGACAAGAAUUUUGGGACGGAGGGAGUAUAAGUCUUUUUAGAGAUUCCACUACAAACUACAUACGGAUGUAUAUAGACAUAUUUUAGAGUGUAGAUUCACUCAUUUUACUUCGUAUGUAGUCCAUAGUGGAAUCUCUAAGAAGGCAUAUAUUUAGGAACAGAGGGUGUACCAGUUGUACCUUUUCGGAAAAGCUUUUCUUAAGAUGUAAAAUACAAAAAAGCACAUCGUGCUAAUUUAUUGGUAUUUUCUUAGAGCAACCAAUUUAUUGGUAUUUUGUGACUUUCUUUCCUGGAUAGUAAUCAGUUAUACUAUUUCAUACCUGUUAGAAGGUAUAUAUGAGACAGAGUAGAAUCAAAUAUAUAUGGGAUAGACACUAGAAAACUGCAAGGCGUCGUAUGUUGUUUGUUCGAAAAAUCCUUGGAAUGCCUUGACUUUGGCCUCACACACGCCGAGAUGUGAACCUGAUGCCUGAUUAUUAUCGUUCCUUCAUUGUAUGAGAGAUGUUCCUGCACAUGCUCUUUUCUCUAAGAAGGCAUAUUUCCUUGCUUGACGAAGGUUGCAUCUCUACAUGGAAGGUUUGUAUGCAUAUCUUGUCACGUAUAUUUUUUCAUGAAAACAUGAGGUGGGCAGUAGGCAUCAAUCUGUUGUAGGUUCAGAGUUGACAGUGUCGACAACUUUGUAUGGUUAAAGGAUAUUCCAAGUAUUUCCACUAUUGCAAGAUAACAACUUUGAUCACUUAUGAUAAGAUGCUUUGGUGUUAAGUUUCUAUUUUUUUAUGGACCAAGAAGAUGAAUUAUUUCGGCAACAUCAAUUGCAUUUGUACUAUCAACAAAAGACUUGUUGCUUGGACAGUUUUACAUUUAGAGGUACACUAUUAUCUCUGCAGUUUAUUGUUACUUCUAAAGCUCAAUAACAUCCAUGCGUAGAUGCAAUGCCAGUCGAUUUAUGGUUGUCAAUGUUAAUAUUUCUCAAUUCAUUUUGCAGCAACGGACCUGCUGUGGUAGUAGUAGUGAGGUGGAUAUAUCUGCAAGGACAUGAGACAUGUAGAACCAUUGAAAUAUUUAUAUCCACUACAUAAAAGGAUGUACACAUAAGCUCGGUAUGUGCUCGGAGAAGGUGCGGUGUUGCGAUGAACAAAAUGUUGUGUCGUGGUGGUGGUCGCCCUCGGCUACGAUGAAGUGUACUCCUUGGAGGAGCGGCCGGUGACGCCGUGGAAGGGAGAGGAGUGGCCGAUGACGCCGUGGAGAGGAGGGAACACGGAGGUGUGAGAGCAAGGUGCGUGGGAGGCAACAAUGAGAAGCCGUGGUGGGCAGAGCAGCCGCGGAAUGAGUUGUGGGUGUGAGUAUUGUGUUGUGCGAUGAGAGUGAUAAAUAGAUUUUUGUAAGAACAAAAGAAAAGGAGUGGUCGUUCGCCUUCUUAGGGAAAGCAAUUGUUUGCUACGAGAUAAAUGUCACAUACUUUUCUAUAUAGUGAAAAUAUCACAAAUCCUAACAAGUCAUUU